GCAAACUUGGUCAUUUAGAGGAAGUAAAAGUCGUAACAAGGUCUCCGUUGGUGAACCAGCGGAGGGAUCAUUAUCGAGUGAAAACUCCCAACCCUCUGUGAACCUACCACUAUUUUCUUCGGCGGGACGUCCCGGCGCAGGCCUCGCGGUCUGCCCGGAACCAGGCGCCCGCCGGGGGCCCAACCUAACGCUUGUAUUCUAUGAGUUUUUUCUGAUUCCCUAUAAAAUGAAUUAAAACUUUCAACAAUGGAUCUCUUGGCUCUGGCAUCGAUGAAGAACGCAGC
Molecule: unclassified non-coding RNA, 284 nt
Filed under: uncultured fungus
Lineage: Eukaryota; Fungi
Description: partial contains small subunit ribosomal RNA, internal transcribed spacer 1, and 5.8S ribosomal RNA
Rfam family: Eukaryotic small subunit ribosomal RNA (bases 1-73)
Source: RNAcentral